Molecule: long non-coding RNA, 627 nt
Filed under: Fragaria vesca (wild strawberry)
Lineage: Eukaryota; Viridiplantae; Streptophyta; Magnoliopsida; Rosales; Rosaceae
Description: long non-coding RNA (FVES_LNC003139)
Source: RNAcentral
ACAACAUCUGUUUAGACUAGAGCGAAACAGAGAGACAGACCUGUUUAGAGUUAUUGUGAGGGAAGGAAUCAGACAAUAAACAUUGUACCUUUGCACAAUAACAAGAGAAGAUAUAUUUCUUCGAACCUACAUUCCUUGUGUGUUUCAGUACUAUUAAUAAUUCCGCUAUUAGUAGUAUCCGCCUAGUAAUCUGUAUCAUGCAUACAAGUAGGUCACAGAAUUUGCUAUCAAGUCCUAGCUCACAUUACAUUCCAUAAACACCCUUUUCCAGAGAGCUAAACAAGCAGAAAUGAUUGACACUCUCAGUUGCCUCUUGCAAGUAGUAAUCUGUAUCAUGCAUACAAGUAGGUCACAGAAUUUGCUAUCAAGUCCUAGCUCACAUUACAUUCCAUAAACACCCUUUUCCAGAGAGCUAAACAAGCAGAAAUGAUUGACACUCUCAGUUGCCUCUUGCAAGUUAUACACAGCUUAGGGGAGAAAAAACCAAAAGGUUUCUCCUUUGAAGCAAAUCACAACUAUGUAAUAAUCUUCCCUUGUGUACUACUCCAAUUCAACACCCAAACAGUAGGAGGACCUUAGGCUUCCUACUUACAAAAUAACAAUUGAGCUGAGGAGGUUAAGGGUUAU